Molecule: ribosomal RNA, 573 nt
Filed under: Priestia aryabhattai
Lineage: Bacteria; Bacillati; Bacillota; Bacilli; Caryophanales; Bacillaceae
Description: bacterial LSU rRNA
Rfam family: Bacterial large subunit ribosomal RNA
Source: RNAcentral
GUCUCUGCGAAGCCGCAAGGCGAAGUAUAGGGGCUGACGCCUGCCCGGGGCUGGAAGGUUAAGAGGAGGGGUUAUCCUGUGGGAGAAGCGCGGAAUCGAAGACCCAGUAAACGGCAGCCGUAACUAUAACGGUCCUAAGGUAGCGAAAUUCCUUGUCGGGUAAGUUCCGACCCGCACGAAAGGCGUAACGAUCUGGGCACUGUCUCAACGAGAGACUCGGUGAAAUUAUAGUACCUGUGAAGAUGCAGGUUACCCGCGACAGGACGGAAAGACCCCGUGGAGCUUUACUGUAGCCUGAUAUUGAAUUUCGUACAGCUUGUACAGGAUAGGUAGGAGCCUGAGAAGCCGGAGCGCUAGCUUCGGUGGAGGCGUCGGUGGGAUACUACCCUGGCUGUAUUGAAAUUCUAACCCGCGGCCCUGAUCGGGCCGGGAGACAGUGUCAGGUGGGCAGUUUGACUGGGGCGGUCGACUCCUAAAAUGUAACGGAGGCGCCCAAAGGUUCCCUCAGAAUGGUUGGAUUUCAUUAGUAGAGUGUAAAGGCACAAGGGUGCUUGACUGCGAGUCCUACAAGUC